UACGGAGGGAGCAAGCGUUGCUCGGAAUGACUGGGCGUAAAGGGUGCGUAGGCGGCUAUUUAAGUGAAUUGUUAAAAACUCAGGCUCAACCUGAGGAAUGCUUUUCAUACUGGGUAGCUUGAGAAUGGUAGAGGAAGCUGGAAUUCCUCAUGUAGGGGUUAAAUCCGUAGAUAUGAGGAGGAACACCAGAGGCGAAGGCGAGUUUCUGGAUCAUUUCUGACGCUGAGGCACGAAAGCGUGGGUAGCAAACAGG
Molecule: ribosomal RNA, 253 nt
Filed under: uncultured bacterium
Lineage: Bacteria
Description: partial 16S ribosomal RNA
Rfam family: Bacterial small subunit ribosomal RNA
Source: RNAcentral